Molecule: long non-coding RNA, 413 nt
Organism: Daphnia pulex (common water flea)
Lineage: Eukaryota; Metazoa; Arthropoda; Branchiopoda; Diplostraca; Daphniidae
Exons: 2
Source: RefSeq, a predicted model, not a curated record
UUUUUAACACUGUCUCUUAUGGAAGUAUUUUUUCAAAGUGUUUUUUCUCUUAACUGGAUAACAACUUCGACCAAAGAAAAAUAUUGAAAAAUACUACAUCAUUCAGAUUGUCAUGUUUGACGAGGUAUUGGUGGAAAGUGCUGUAAUCCAUCUAUUCGACCUCUCAAGAAGAACUGGUGGUGUUAUUUAAAGCAAGAUUCUGUGGCAUUCCUUGUUGGAUAUGUAUCGUUUGGAUAGUUUAUUCAUACAUAGAUUUUUUUGUGUUUCAAAUGAUUUGUAUUUGUUAGCAUUAUUAAAAAUAGAGAAUAUGGAUGCAUACAAAAAAAACAAUUAGGAUGCUUCAUCAUCGUUGAGAAGUUGCUGUAAUCCUUGGAUAGUUGAAAUGAGUAAGUGAAAUUGUUUGCGUCUUUGUU